AUGGAGAAGAAACGGGUGGCCAUCAUUGGCGCCGGCAUGAGCGGCCUCACAGCUUGCAAGCACCUGCUUGAGCGUGGCUUCCGGCCACUCGUGUUCGAGGCCGAGGCCGACACCAUCGGCGACGUGCGGGCGCACCGGCACGCCUCGACGCGCCUCCAAACCCCACGGCCACAGUAUGAGUUCAUGGACUUCCUGUGGCCACCGAGCAUGUCGGAUUUGUACCCGGACCAUAACGAGGUCAUUGAGUACCUUCGCUGGUACGCAUGCCACUUUGGCUUGCUAGAGUGCAUCAGGUUCGGCAGCCGGGUUGCUGCUCUGGGGUACACCGGUGCUGAGGAGGAAAUGAUGGCUUGGGAACUAUGAGCCAGCAACGGCGAGGCGUUCGGCAGCGGUCAGGGCGAGUGGCGGCUCACCAUGCAGCACUGGAACGACGUUGAGGUCGGAUUGGCCAAUGUUGAUCAUUUAUGGCAUAUGUAGACACACGUGGCCGACUUCAUGGUGCCAUGCGUCGGAUGGUACAGCGGCAUCCCCAGUAUUCCAACUUUCCCACGGGAGAAAGGCCCAGAGGCCUUUAAUGGCACAGUGAUCCACUCCACGGAUCACACCAACAUGGACGAUGCAGAGGCCACCAAACUCAUCAAAGGCAAGCUCGUCACUGUCGUCGGCUACGAAAAGUCUACUCUCGACAUCACCACGGACUGUGCAAACAUGAACAGUCCGACGAAUCCUUGCACAAUGAUUAUUCGGACGAAGAGAUGGAUCAUCCCUGACUUCGACGCUUGGGGUGUCCCAGUUGCUUUCUUCAACUUCAAUCGCUUGUCCGAGCUCCUAGUUCACAAGCCAGGCGAGGGGCUGCUCCUUAGCUUGCUUGCUACCUUCUUGUCACCCUUGAGAUGGAUGUUAUCAAAGUUUGUUGAGAGCUUCUACAUGUGGGCAGUGCCCAUGAGGAAGCAUGGCAUCGUGCCGGAACAUAGCUUCUUCUAAGCUUUGAGCUCAUGGCUUAUUGCGGUAAUGCCAGACAAAUUCCAGGACAAGGUGGAUCAGGGAAGCAUUAUUCUCAAGAAAACAAAAAAAAAAAGCUUCUGUAGAGAUGGCAUCAUUGUAAAAGGUGAGUCUGCACUGAUCAAGAGAGACCUUGUGAUCUUUGCGACCGGAUAUAAUGGAGAUCAGAAGCUGAAAGAGUUGUUCGCCUCGCCUUUGUUCAGAGAAAUCGUUGUUGGCACACCAUCUAGUGCCAAUCACUACGGCAGGCAAUGUGUCCAUCCUAGGAUCCCCCAGUUAGCGAUCAUGGGCUACUGCGAGAAUGUGUCAAACCUGCACGCGUUCGAGCUGCGGUCAAAGUGGUUAGCACACUUCCUUCACGGCAGCUUCUGUUUGCCUAGUAUCCAAUCUAUGGAGGAGAAUAUAAUGGAGUGGGACAAGUAUAUGAAACGGUACGCUUCAAGCCACUUCCGUCGGUCGUGUAUUGCACUGGUCCACAUCCUGUGCAAUGAUCAGCUGUGUCAAGACAUGGGGAUUAAUUACCAGAGGAAAAAUGGAUUCCUGGCAGACUGGGUGCUUCCUUAUGGACCAGCAGAUUACAGCAGCAUCAACCGGCGGAAUAACUGA
Molecule: ribosomal RNA, 1608 nt
Filed under: Triticum aestivum (bread wheat)
Lineage: Eukaryota; Viridiplantae; Streptophyta; Magnoliopsida; Poales; Poaceae
Description: partial small subunit ribosomal RNA
Source: RNAcentral